AGGUGAAUCAUUCAAUUUCCUGCUGGAGCUGCAGCCCAGAUUGCAGAAGACUUGAGUUCUUACCAGCAGUUGCAGGGACAUUGAUGUGAUAAGCACUGUGCAGAUUUUGAAGAAAAACAGCCACUGUGCCCUCAAACACCUGACAAGCUAAUUGCAAAGCUGAGAGACACCUGCUAAAUCCCUGAAAAUGCCAAGCAAACCAGUGAAGAGUAAACCAGCUGCUUUUAAAAAGGUAUCAAGAUUCAACUUGCUGCUGUAAGUCUGUUGUCCCUGAGUUCUGAGAAAACACACCUGCUUCAACUGGAAUAUUUUUCAUGAAAAGUCAAUAAAAACCAUGCAGUAGAAGCACCAAGAACAGAACCAAUUAAUAC
Calidris pugnax (ruff) is the source of this 371-nucleotide long non-coding RNA. RefSeq lists it as uncharacterized. NCBI's taxonomy places the organism in Eukaryota, Metazoa, Chordata, Aves, Charadriiformes, Scolopacidae. The record is from RefSeq and is a predicted model, not a curated record. The transcript is spliced from 3 exons.